CAAGUCGAACGCAGUAGCAAUACUGAGUGGCAGACGGGUGAGUAACAUGUGGGAAUCUGCCUUGUGGUUCAGGACAACAUUGGGAAACUGAUGCUAAUACUGGAUAAGCCCUUACGGGGAAAGUUUUAAUGCCAUAAGAUGAGCCCGCAUUUGAUUAGUUAGUUGGUGAGGUAAUGGCUCACCAAGACAAUGAUCAAUAGCUGAUCUGAGAGGAUGAUCAGCCACACUGGGACUGAGACACGGCCCAGACUCCUACGGGAGGCAGCAGUGGGGAAUCUUGCACAAUGGAGGAAACUCUGAUGCAGCGAUGCCGCGUGAGUGAAGAAGGCCUUUGGGUUGUAAAGCUCUUUUGUAGGGGAAGAUAAUGACUGUACCCUAAGAAUAAGGUCCGGCUAACUUCGUGCCAGCAGCCGCGGUAAUACGAAGGGACCUAGCGUAGUUCGGAAUUACUGGGCGUAAAGCGCGCGUAGGCCGUUGAGUUAGUUAAUUGUGAAAUCCCAAAGCUUAACUUUGGAACUGCAAUUAAAACUGCUCGACUAGAGUUUGAUAGAGGAAAGCGGAAUACAUAGUGUAGAGGUGAAAUUCGUAGAUAUUAUGUAGAACACCAGUUGCGAAGGCGGCUUUCUGGAUCAACACUGACGCUGAGGCGCGAAAGUAUGGGUAGCAAAGAGGAUUAGAUACCCUCGUAGUCCAUACCAUAAACGAUGAUUGCUAGAUGUUGGAAAUUUAUUUUCAGUAUCGCAGCUAACGCAUUAAGCAAUCCGCCUGGGGAGUACGACCGCAAGGUUAAAACUCAAAUGAAUUGACGGGGACCCGCACAAGCGGUGGAGCAUGUGGUUUAAUUCGAAGAUACGCGCAGAACCUUACCAACCCUUGACAUGUCUGUCGCGAGUUUAGGAAACUAGACUUUUCGG
RNAcentral lists this ribosomal RNA (914 nucleotides) under marine metagenome. Its description in RNAcentral is "bacterial SSU rRNA". It matches the Rfam family "Bacterial small subunit ribosomal RNA", at positions 58 to 1019 of the family's 1533-position model. The record is from RNAcentral.